UGGAAGCUUGAUGGAAAAUGC
Non-coding RNA from Caenorhabditis elegans, 21 nucleotides. Lineage: Eukaryota; Metazoa; Nematoda; Chromadorea; Rhabditida; Rhabditidae. The record is from Ensembl.